Molecule: long non-coding RNA, 2963 nt
Organism: Dermacentor silvarum
Lineage: Eukaryota; Metazoa; Arthropoda; Arachnida; Ixodida; Ixodidae
Exons: 2
Source: RefSeq, a predicted model, not a curated record
UGGAUUGCAAUAUAAGACGGAAGAAAAUGCUACUUGUCACCUUCUAUUCGAUUCUUAGAAGAAAUAACUUUUUGACGUUACUCUUGACAACAAUGCAGACGGUCGAAAGGUUUUGUUUUCGCUUGACUUCGCGCCACCUUCGCUUUCGCGUUUCAGUAGUUUCGUUAUCACGUAGUGCUGCACCGAUUGCUGGUUUACGAAACUUGCAUAAACUGCAAGUAGCAGUGAAUGAGGUCCAUCGUGAUGGGCGUCAAAGAUCAUGUUUAUGAUUCAGUGCACACUUUCCCUUCCUCUUUCGCACUGUCAGCUUCUUCUUUGCUCGGUUUCCAACUGCGCUUUUGCGUUUUACGCAAGAAAUCGUAGCGCCGGCUGUUGGACGCCGUUUUACUCACCGACGACAGUAAAGGGCAGUGAUGGUGUAUACGUUACAUCAAGGCUCCCCACUCGGGGGUGGUCAAUUUGAAUUGCGCUAAAGAUAUGCGGACCCUUCAGACACCGUUUUAUUUUAAACUAAGUCUUUUCUUGGCAUAAAACAAUCACUGCGAGGUUUCUGAAAUGGUAUUUUAACAGUCCAUGUCGAAAUAAUAUUUGCCAUUAGUGUCCCUUUAAAGUACGUUUUCUGGUAGCAAAAAUGUAAAAUACUCAGUGAGAGCAGCUUGAAAUGGCACGUUCUGGAUGCACAUGCAUGUUUUAGUCAACGGCUUGGUUUGGUUUACCCGCAGCUGGCAAAGCCAACAUGCCAAUUUCAUGUGAUCACACCAAUCACACUCACUGUUACUUAUUACGUGCACAGCAAGUGUUUGUAAUUCAGCAAUCUUCAUAUUGGCAUGUAUGGGCACGGCGCACCGUAGGUCGGCAUACCCAUUCACGAGUACAAUAACUCACGAUUGCUCUGCACUCAUUUCUCAGGCAAGUUGAUGCGACUAUGAACGGGAGUGAGUGCCAAUUAAUGCGAGUAUGAAUGAAAGUCAGCGACGGUGAGUUUGACUAUAUGUGUGUGUGAAUGUGGGCGACUGUCGGCCAGUGUGAGUGAACGGGAGCCUGUAUGUGAGAGUGCCAGGAAGUGGAAGUAGAAGCAACUAAGACACGAGUGAGUGUUGGUGGUUAUGAGUGGGGGCGAUUAGGAACCUGAGUGAGUACCGACGAGUGUGAAUGCACAUGAGUGUGAGUGAAUGCAUAUCCUAUAAAAGUGUUGAUGAGCUAGUAUUCACUUAUUCUGCCAACCUAUGCUGCGCACGGCCAACUCACAAUCGAUAUCGACAGGAGACCCUUUGCUGGUCAGUUUGGCAAAAAUGUCUGCCGUAGAUUUGCAUAUGUUUGAGGGUUAGUACGAAACGAAUAGACUCGCUCAUAAUUUACGCAGUACAAUCACGUUAAAUGGAAUCUCAAAAUACUAAAGAAUUAUGCUCGAUUUAACAGGAGUUUCGUUUACUGAGAAACAUUUGUCGGGGUGCAGCACUAUGUUUCAUGCACCCUCUUAACACUGUUUUCAGAAAGGUUAAUCAUCAAGGAGAGACUGUAGCAGCUGCAAGUUCUUACAAAAAUAGAAAAUGACAAGGUGCUUUGGCACAUCAUUCACAAAAUUUGUUCUGCUACUACUUGCUAUGCAUUAGAAACUUGACGCUUGGGACAGGCUUUGAGAACAUUUUGGAUCCUGAUUCUUUCCGAAAAAAGAAAAGGGAAAAAAAUUUCACACUUUCAGUGCCAAUUCCGUUUGUUGAAGUGCCGCAAUAUCGACAUGCGUCCAUGUUUAUCAUUUUCCUGUCACUGGCUAACAAAUGUUAAAAGUUAUCGUGCGGCGCAAGACGUGUCUGCAUGUAUCCGAACAUUCUCGAUUGUUUUAGCCGAUUUUAUCUGUUGUCUACGUUAACGGAGAACACUGUAAUCAGACCGCAUGCGUGACAUGAAUAGUGUUGUACUUUCCGGAAGGUACACUAGCACUAGCAAUUACACUGGAACCAUAGACGAGUCAUGUAUAAAUAGCCAACAUGUCUGAUCCAGCAGAUCAUAUUUCGACGAUCAACGAGUGUGCUCGCCGCUAUCAUUGUGUUACUUGUUUUGCUGGGCACAGGUUCGCCCAAUAAACAGUUAGUUUCGUUACUUGCGUUGUGCUACUGUGGUUGUUUGCCAUCACUACAACAUGAAAAUAUCAUCUGAGGUUUCGUUUUUGACAGAAAUGUGAAAAUUUUGGUUCCGAUCAAUAAUUUUUUUUGCAUUACCGAAAUACAAACUAAUUUAGGGCCAAUUGUUCUAUUUAAGCGAUUUGCGUUUACCAGGACUCUGCUAUGUUGAUAGCUAUUCGAUGAGGACAUCAACGUUUUUGUGUUCUAAUGAAUCUGCAGGUAAUAAUCAGGCAACCUUAUAUUCUUUCUGUACAUAUCCACAGAUAUUAAACAAAACAUAUAAAAUAGCAUGAAUUUUAAGAGUUUUGGCAGAAUUAAGAACUGGCAAUUGCAAGCCAGCAUAUUUUGUAACUGCACAGCGAGAAAUUUGUUCUCAACAAAACUAUUAUUGCAAUCUUUUGCAGAGAGCAUCCGACUGCUUGGCGGCAUCUGAUUACAUGCAUCUUUAGGACGGGUACUUGCUGGCCCAUCAGAUCAUCUGCAUGGGCUUAUUCAAGAUGUGAAAAUCUGUUCACAAGCUGCUUCAGCACUCUGGAGCUUCAUCACAAGAGCUUUCGAGGUGUGGAUGUGCUAACCAGGAGAAUUCGCAAGGCAUGUGCAGUGCACUCUCGAUGCGAGAUGGCCGCUCGGGUGCCUGGAGCUAUGUCACUUGGAGAAACCAAUCGGCGCACGCGGUUGUCUGAUCGUCUUGCUGCCGAGAGGGCUCAUCACGGCACCCCAUGGCGGCCACAAUAUCUACGUUAUGCAGCAUGUUGGUGCGAUCUCCGAGGUUACGCUCAGCAGACGCCGCUACGUGCAGCUGGCAUGUCCAGACCAAAAGUGCAAACAUAAAAUACUUUU